GUCCACGCCGUAAAACGAUGUCAACUAGCCGUUGGGCUCUUUAAGGGCGCAGUGGUGCAGCUAACGCGAUAAGUUGACCGCCUGGGGAGUACGGUCGCAAGAUUAAAAACUCAAAAUGAAUUGACGGGGGCCCACACAAGCGGUGGAGUAUGUGGUUUAAUUCGAUGCAACGCGAAGAACCUUACCUGGCCUUGACAUGUCCGGAACUUACCAGAGAUGGUUGGUGCCUUAGGGAACCGAACACAGGUGCUGCAUGGCUGUCGU
Molecule: ribosomal RNA, 264 nt
Filed under: uncultured bacterium
Lineage: Bacteria
Description: partial 16S ribosomal RNA
Rfam family: Bacterial small subunit ribosomal RNA
Source: RNAcentral